RNAcentral lists this ribosomal RNA (406 nucleotides) under uncultured bacterium. Its description in RNAcentral is "partial 16S ribosomal RNA". It matches the Rfam family "Bacterial small subunit ribosomal RNA", at positions 30 to 526 of the family's 1533-position model. The record is from RNAcentral.
AUUGAACGCUGGCGGCAGGCCUAACACAUGCAAGUCGAGCGAGCGGCGGACGGGUGAGUAAUGUAUGGGGAACUGCCCGAUAGAGGGGGAUAACUACUGGAAACGGUGGCUAAUACCGCAUACCAUCGGAUGUGCCCAUAUGGGAUUAGCUUGUAGGAGGGGUAAAGGCUCACCUAGGCGACGAUACCUAGCUGGUCUGAGAGGAUGACCAGCCACACUGGGACUGAGACACGGCCCAGACUCCUACGGGAGGCAGCAGUGGGGAAUAUUGCACAAUGGGGGCAAGCCUGAUGCAGCCAUGCCGCGUGUGUGAAGAAGGCCUUCGGGUUGUAAAGUACUUUCAGCGGGGAGGCGUUACCCGCAGAAGAAGCACCGGCUAACUCCGUGCCAGCAGCCGCGGUAAUUC